GCCUGUUUGAGAAUCUAUAGUAUUCUUUCUUGCCCANCNUUUUAAAGUUUAGGCAAGAGAUUUGGGUCUCCCUAGCAUUGUUAGGGUUACUUGAAAUAGAUUGCCUCUGUCUUGUAGAAAACGACGACGUUUUUCGUACCCUUCAGAAAAGUAUUUGAAUGGAGCCUUUUGGUUACUUAUGAUGCUGAUUACGUAGGAGAAAAAAAGAGUUUCCUAUGGACUUGGGGUUCAUAACCAUAAAAGUCGUUUUCGGGCGAUUUUGAACCAUGGUCUCAAAUCAGGUAGGAAGACCCGCUGAACUUAAGCAUAUCAAUAAGCGGAGGAAAAGAAACUAACAAGGAUUCCCCUAGUAACGGCGAGUGAAGCGGGAAUAGCUCAAAUUUGAAAUCUCCUUCGGGCGAAUUGUAGUUUAGAGAAGCGUUUUCUGCUGGCGGGUAGGUACAAGUUCUUUGGAACAAGACAUCAUAGAGGGUGAAAAUCCCGUCUUUGACCUACCUCAAGGCUUUGUGAUACGUUUUCCAAGAGUCGGUUUGUUUGGGUAUGCAGACCAAAAUGGGAGGUAAAUACCUUCUAAAGCUAAAUAUUGGCGAGAGACCGAUAGCGAACAAGUACCGUGAGGGAAAGAUGAAAAGAACUUUGAAAAGAGAGUUAAACAGUACGUGAAAUUGUCAAAAGGGAAACGUUUGAAACCAGUAUUGCUGGCGAGAAUUCAGCUACUAU
Molecule: ribosomal RNA, 720 nt
Filed under: uncultured Chytridiomycota
Lineage: Eukaryota; Fungi; Chytridiomycota
Description: eukaryotic LSU rRNA
Rfam family: Eukaryotic large subunit ribosomal RNA (bases 268-720)
Source: RNAcentral